AGAGUUUGAUCCUGGCUCAGGAUAAACGCUGGCGGCGUGCAUGAGACAUGCAAGUCGAACGGACGAUUCGGGCUUGCUCGAAUCGUUAGUGGCGGACGGCUGAGUAACGCGUAGGUGACCUGCCCCGAAGUGGGGAAUAACUGCCCGAAAGGGUGGCUAAUACCGCAUGUGGUCGCACGUUCGGUCGUGCGAGUAAAGCCGCAAGGCGCUUCGGGAGGGGCCUGCGUCCGAUUAGCUCGUUGGUGGGGUAAUGGCUCACCAAGGCGACGAUCGGUAGGUGGUCUGAGAGGACGAUCACCCAGACUGGGACUGAGACACGGCCCAGACUCCUACGGGAGGCAGCAGUCGGGAAUUUUGCUCAAUGGGCGAAAGCCUGAAGCAGCAACGCCGCGUGAGGGAUGAAGGCCUUCGGGUCGUAAACCUCUUUUGCCGGGGACGAUAAUGACGGUACCCGGUGAAUAAGCCACGGCUAACUACGUGCCAGCAGCCGCGGUAAUACGUAGGUGGCAAGCGUUGUCCGGAUUUACUGGGCGUAAAGAGCGCGCAGGCGGUCGUAUAAGUCGAAUGUGAAAGCCCCUGGCUCAACUAGGGAGAGUCAUUCGAUACUGUUCGACUCGAAGGCAGGAGAGGGAAGUGGAAUUCCGGGUGUAGUGGUGAAAUGCGUAGAUAUCCGGAGGAACACCAGUGGCGAAGGCGACUUUCUGGCCUGUUCUUGACGCUGAGGCGCGAAAGCUAGGGGAGCAAACGGGAUUAGAUACCCCAGUAGUCC
RNAcentral lists this ribosomal RNA (769 nucleotides) under uncultured bacterium. Its description in RNAcentral is "bacterial SSU rRNA". It matches the Rfam family "Bacterial small subunit ribosomal RNA", at positions 8 to 796 of the family's 1533-position model. The record is from RNAcentral.